UCGUGAUGCGAUGCAGUCCUGCCCAGUGUGUGUGCAAAGUGAGGGAGCAGCCGAGCUCUGUCUCUGUCAACACCUAUGACACAGAAACAGCACAAGUCAGCACCCGGGAGGUGAGGGUGACCUGUCCGUGGGAGCCAUCUACACAGAUCUUCAGUCAGGCUUUGGAUUUCCAUAAAGUCUCCACCUCAGCAGUGAAUCCAAUGAUACCUAGAAUCCAAGGAGUAAGGAGACCAUGAAUCAUUGUGAAAAUCCUUUCGAAGCUGGGGGCAGACAGAAUCUAUGUGCUUCGGAGAUUGGAGUGGACAAGACUGGCCUUUCCUCGGGGCCCCUGGGGGUGCCCAGUGGUUGACAGUCUGCCUUUGAUUCAGGUCGUGAUCCCGGGGUCCUGGGAUCGAGUCCUGCAUGGGGAUCCCCGCAGGGAGCCUGCUUCUCCCUCUGCUUGUGUCUCUUUCUCUCUCUGGAUCUCUCAUGAAUAAAUAAAUAAAAUCUUAAAAAAAAAAAAGAAGAAGAAGAAGAAGAAGAAGAUUGGCCUUUCUCUUCCUUCACAGGACUGGGCUUGGAUGCUGCUUUCGGCCUUUGGGAUUAUGCCUACAUGUGAGCAUACUUAGCAAAGGCUCCAGAUCAGCAUGGUUGUAAAAACACAGUUCUGACACUCCACAGCCUUCUUUUCUCAUUUCUGAGUAAUCCUAGAUGAAUGACAUUUUUUGUGGCGUUUUAGGCAAUUGGCACAUCGCGGCCAUCUGGCAGCCAGCAAAGGAGGACACCUCUGACACCGUAAGGUGACCUGCCAGUGGUUAAAAACAACGAAAGGUGGUUGCUGUUUAUUCCCAGGGAGCAGCGUACACCUGCGGUUCUUCGCUCAUCAGUAUUCACGGACGCCUCUUCACACUGAAGCAGCCACUGCUGUUGAAGAUCCUUUUUAACUAGACAAAAUAUUUCGGCAACUAUUGCUCUUUGUGAGAAAAAUAAACAACGGGCAAACAGAAAAAAGGAAAAACGUAGUCACAAGGAUACUCAAAGGAAUAACAUAGCCUCAUCUAAUAUGGAGAAGUUUCUCUCUUUGUGCAUCUCCUGGGAGUUUCAUAAAUGAAGCUGAAACAGAAGUUUAUCCUUCCUGAGGAUGAGAGGAGAAACCAGCGGCGACUGGAGGCUACAGUUCUGAGGGAAAGGAGAGUCUUAGGGUUUACCCUCUCCUUUUUCUCUAGCUAACAACCAUACAAAUCCUGACCAGGCCUGCCCAGUCUGACGUGAGAAACGGGUUGUGAGGAAGAUAUCAAAACAGUAUUUUCAAGACAGAUUAGGAAACAGAGAGAACCAGGAUCCCAAGUUGAGGUUCAGCUAUUUUCUUUUUUUCCCACAGGGGAUUUCUAGUUGCUAUUGGAACGAGUAGCAUUUUGUUGUAGUGAAUUUGCAAAACAAGAUUUAGACAUAUUAAUUUAGCCUCAGUUUAUAGUUUGGUACCAUUGGGGUGGAAAAGCAGAAACCACUUAAGGAAGUGCCGGUAGCAUACAAUAGUACUGCUUUGGCCACAAAUUCUUCAAAUUAUAUAUCUGUCUUUAUUCAAAAAUAUUUGCUGCUAACUUAUUCAGGUCUUGGAGCAUAUCAAAAGAUAAAGACUUUUAUCUGGAGGAGCUCCCAGUCUAGUGGAGGAAAUGAAGAAAGGCUGUCACUCUUACCUAUAGCACAAUGUGUUGGAACCUACGAGAAAUGUUCACCCUAAUGGCUGUAAGACUGUAUCUGGUAACAGGCCUCAGAGAGGAGGUAAGAUUCCCUUUGAGAUUUUUAAAGAAAGAUUAAAGCAACGGAUCUGACAGUGGUAAUGGGUAGAAUGAGCUGACUCAUAGGGAAAUAGGGUGAGGAAAGACAUAGAAUUAACAAAGUCCAAGGUUUGGUGGAUCCAGGUAUUAAUGGGGAUCCUGGUUUGACUGGAAAUAAGUCAUGUGAAGUGAGUAGAUAGAUAGAUAGAAAACUGUUUGGUUUCUUCAUAUAGGGCUUCAAUACUGUGUUAGAAUCUGUGGUUCAUGUAUGAAUGAGAAACCACAAAAUCUUCUGAGCAGGAUAGGACCCUGAUGAGGAGAUCUUCAAGGCUGGAUGAGAGAUUUCCUUCCAUGUCCCCACCUAUCACAUCAUGCAGCAUCCCGGACUGUAGUUGCCUUUGUCUGUACUUUCUUAGUGUGGACUCCUGUUAAGGCAAGAACUUCAUCUUGGAAGGUGAAAAUGAGCAUAUGGAGAACAUGGAUCACAGAAACUGGUACACACAAUGGGCUAAAAAUAUAUAUGAUUUGAAUAGAUAAAUGAAAAUAUUAGAGCUGACAAAUAUUAUAGCAUUUUAGGGGAGCAGAGAUAUUUUGGACGGAGGCUUGACAGCUCUUGGAGACUGAGUAGAUGUAGCAGGCAAGAGAAAUAGUUUUCUUAGUGGUGACUUCGGGAAUGGAACAAAAAUAACGUAAGUCUUGAGCACUGCUAUUUCUAUAGAAAAAUGUGCUAGUGCAAGCUUCCAAACUCUCAUUCUUGGAAUUAUGCAAGCCAAAAUACCAUUCCUGAUCCCUGGAAACAGAUGUCACUCAGACGAUAUUAUAAAACAAAAUCAAUGUUUAUGAAGUUUACUAUUUGCUUAUUUUUAAAAAACCCUUCUGUACACUAAAAAGCAAAUCUAUGUGUUUGUCAGAUGCCUUUUGAAUGUCUAUAUGUAGCUUAGUAUCUUGCCUCAUGUCCAACGUAUGACCAGUCCUUUUUACCCUCUACGAAAUAAGAAAACUCCCAUUAAGGAGAAUGGAAAGAAAAUGAUGGAUCUAUUAUUCUUCAUUAUAUUAUGUAGGUAAAUGGUAUAAUGUUGCCCUGUACUUCUCCUAAAUCAUCCUGAUUGAUUAGCAGAUGUGGACAAGGUAUGAAAGCGAUGGAGAGAGACAGUGGUCCCCUUUAGUCCAAAGUGUGUGUGUAGGGGGCAUUCUCUGUCCACUUUCUUCAGUAAUGCUAAUAGAAAUUUAAAAUGCUUUUUAAUUAUAAGGUUAUAAAAAUUAAACACUGCAUGUUUAACAUAUUAAAGUUAUGAAAUUAAGCAUAACAUUAGCAAAGAGAGACUACUGGUGUUGAUAGGUAGAGAAUAAUGUUCAGGAAUGCCAUUUUUUACCCAAAGACGCCCCCCCCCCCGCCCCCCAAUUGCAUUAACUAUGCCAGUGCUCCAAGAGAACUACAAAGUAUUGCAGAAAUUUGGAACAGAGAGACAUCAUUUAUGGCUGGGUGAUCCAGAAAGUAUUCAUGUACUUGAGGGCACAUGAGUUUGGCCUUGAAUUAUGGAUAGAUGUGCAAUACGCAGAAACUCAAGGAAAAAUAUUCCAAAUAAUAAAUUGCAGGAGGCUAUACUGCUCCACGGCUGCUGCAUCUCGGCACUAGAAUAUUGAUUAUGCUGCAAGCCUACAAGUAUUAAGAAAUACGUAUCCCAGAAGUUAACCCAGAAACACAUAAAGAAUAGAAAUGUUCCCAAUUACACAGCUGCAAAAAUUUAGUUAGAUGUCAGAGUAGUAAGUAUGUAUAAUAAAAUUCAGGUUUGUUACAAUUUAUACCAUGUUAGAAGAAAGCAAUUCCUUUGGAAGGAACCUUAUUUCACCACUGACUUAUAAUUAUAGAUGUACUUAAUUCCAUCACUGAUUUAUUUUUAUUGGUAAUGAGGAUUAGUACUUUAGCUUAAAGUAUCUCGCUUCCAUGUAUGUCAAGUAGUUAAUGACCUGUAAAUGAACUCUUAAAUAUGCUAAAGAAGCUCAUUAUUUAAGGUAAUUAUUUAGCAAAGCAAUGAUCCUUUGAUUAUGCAAAUUACUGACAUUAAAUUAUAAAUCUGUGAGUACCCAGUUUUAUGUUUUAUUCCAGGCCCUCAAAAUGACCUUCCAAAGCAGGUAUUGCUUGAUCCAGUUAGGAUGAGUAACAGGACGAUGAAAGCAUAUACCUCAAGGCUGACGAGAGAGUAGAUGUUAGCAACGUUUCCUUCAGCUGAUGGAGUUGGGAGCUGGAGAUGAUGAUGAUGAUGAUGAUGAUAGCUGUGGCUUGUUAUGUUCCUCCUGCUGAGUAGUUGUUUAGAUUUAUGAAAAUAUUAUGUGCCAAUCUUAAGACACAUUCUAAAGAUUUUUGGCUUUAAUGUUGCUUGAUUUGAAGACCAUCUCCAUGAGACAGAUAUUUAUGAGUUACUUUUUAUGUAUGUACUAAGUGUCAAAACAUUUACUAGGUACCGAAAAUAAUGUGUGCCUGGUAGGAAGGAAGGGAGGUGAUCAGGGGACAAGAAGUAGACAAUCAAUAAACCUUUUCACCAUGUGCUAAGUGAGAUGGAUGAGCUCUGGUCAGAUACUCAGAGAAGACUUAGAACAAUCACUUGGUCCAGUCUGGGAGAAAGAGGGAAGGUGGUGGAGGAAGUGAAAACAGAAUGAAAGUGAAGGGGAGUAAAAUGUGGAGAUGGAAGUAGGGCUGUCUUAGGCAGAGAGAAAAAAGCCUGUGAGAAGUGAAUAGCAAUGGGCUGUUCUCUGGACUGCGGAUAACUCAGUGUGACUCCAGUGCUGAGUGUAAGGAUCGCUGUGGUGGCGGUGCAAAAUGAGGCUGGAGAGGGAAAAGGAGCCAGAAGUUUUAUCUUGAGGAAUAUGUUAGGAUGCCUGAAAGAUUUUAAGUAAGGGGCCUAUAAAACCAUGUUUACAUUUCAGAAAGAUCAGCAUUAUGAAAGGGGGUCAAGCCACUGGUGAUAUUAAAAAUUCCAGUCGCGUAUUUAGCCAGGACCAAAGGGCAGGAGGGUCUUAUGUGAGCCGAGUUAACACUUCAGUUGCUGCCUCCAGGCCUGCGCAGAUGGAGGCAGUGUCUAUUCACUAACAUAUAGAGGUAUUCAGUAUCUUAGCAAUCAUAAGGCUGCACUCAUAUGUCCUAGCUGAAUAUCUGUUCUGGGUAGAAGGCACUGGAUUCGGUUGAGAGCCACUGGAGAUCACUGAUAUAACCCAAAUAGAAGUAUGUCACAGGAGAGAUCAAAACACUUGAAUGCACUCAAGACACUCAGAAAGAGAAAUGAAAUGACUUGGCUAUUAAUUGGUGGUGAUGGAGUGAAAGGGAGGGGAAUAGGGGAUGACUUGUCUCCUGGCUUGAGUAAACAGGUGGAUGGAGUGGCCAUUCAUUGGUUCAUUGAGAAGUGUGAAAAGGGAGUAGAAUAGUCAGGGAUAGGAAAACCAGUGAGUUUUUUAUUUGACGUAUCUCUUGAACACUGAGGAAGAGAUGUUUGUUUAGCAUUAUAUGAUCCUAUAAAUUUGAAGCUCAGGAGAGAGAGGAACAAGAGCCGCAGGUUUAGGAGUCAUCAUUACAGGUGGGAGUUGAAGCCAUUCACGGUGGACGAUGUCUUCCAAGUAGAGCAUAUCGAGUGAGGUGCCACCAUCUUGGACAGUGAGUCUUAGGUGUUCCCUAGGCAAUAGUGCCUUGUACACACACACAAUUGGACAUCAUAUCAAAACCCAUAUGAGAUUUACUAACCACUCUCUUACAUAUCUCAGCAUUUAUAGGUUUCCUAGGUUAGGGGUGAAGUGCAUUCCCAAAGAUGUCCCUUUGUGGAUAGAAUAUUUCUCCCCUACUCUUCUUCACAUGGAAAAAUAUGUGCUUUUAUAGAUGGUGUAGAAACACUGUUCAGUUAGCCCUACUCUCUUUCCUGAAUACUAAAAGGAAUGGGAGAAUCUUAAUUGAUCUCCAAUAAAAAAUUUGGAGAAAAAUUAUUUUCAGUUUAUCUUAAGUUAUCCUAACAUAUAAAUUGGGUCUUUUGUUUACUAAUUUACUGCUUUUUCCUAAAUUCUAUGUAUUGUCUACCUAUUCUUUUUCUUAGUUCUUCUCCAGGCCUCUGCACCUGUGAGAACUAUUAAAACCAAUUCAUAGCUUCUUGCUUUCUGUCUCUCUCAGAACUCCUUCUGAAUAUGGCUGCCAGCAUACUUCCCAAACUCCACUUCCAUGAUGUCACUCACCAAGAGCUGGCAAUGACUUUUCCACUGUCAAUUAUACCAAGAGCAUACCGCACCCCCCCCCCCCCCGCCCACUCUCUAGAAUAAAAUCACACCUAGCCUAUGAAUGGUUUUGAUGAUUCCCUGAUAGAGCUCCUCAAGGCAAUCAGACCUAAAUCUUCAUUGACUCACCCCCCUAGUCUGCAUAAUUCACACACUUGUUUUCUGUUUUGCCGAGCUGGGGUCUCAGCAGUAAGAAACAUGGUUUAUUAGAAAGAGCACAGAGAUAAGAUUCAGAAACUCUGGCCCUAAGUUUGAAGCCUAGUGACUCUUUUGACAAGCUAUUUAAUUUCUUAUCUCUGAGAGAUAAAGAAAUCUGCUAACACCUUUCAUAGGGUUAUUCUGAAGGGUAAAUGAGAUCAUCUAUGUGAACGUGCUUUCUAAAUUAUAAAGUGCUAGAUAAAGCAAACCCUAUGUAAUCAAAAUUUCUCUUAUCUGAAAUUCAGGAAUACACGAUUUUUAAACAAUGUAUAUGUUUGAUAGCUUUGAAAUUUUCAGUGUUCUUAGAUACAAGUCAGAAGUCACUACUAUAUGAAAUAAUUAAAAAGAAGGACCCAGAGGUUGUGAACAGAAAUAGAGACAAAAUAAAUACUCAACAAAUUCUUGGGGAUUCUCAACAUUGGUUUUCCCAAAGAGUGGGCUUCAAAGGGUUUCAAGUAGAAACCCUAGGAUGUAGAGGUACAUUCUUGCCAACUAUAUUAUGAUGAGGAAUGCAGAUAAUUGUAAGAAGGAAUGGCAGUUCCAAAAGUAAGACUGAGCCAUGAAGUCAUAAAGAUAUACAAAAUUUGGAUGAGGAAAAGCUAAAAACUCAAAAAAUUAAGUGCUUUCUAAUAUAUGUGUUAUCUGCAAAAAGCAGAAGCAGAUGAGUAAAUCAUUAUAACUUUGUUGCAAAAAGAUUACAAAAAGUAUCUGGUGAAUAAGCAAAUGGAAAUUAGCAAUAUAGUACUCAUUGGCACUAAUUUAAGGUUUCAAAACGUCCUUUGGAUUGCAGUUUUUAAUUCAAUGAUUUCAAAAUUAUUUAUGAAUUUUUGCAGGUUCACUCAAGACCCUUGCAUUGGUAAGCCUACUUUCCUUCAUAUGCCAAUCUUCCUUUCAUUUUGGUUUUAAAGGCCUUUUCCUCAAGUUGGGGAAGGUCUAUGGGAUGUUGAGGGUUGGGCUAACACCAUGGGGCAUCCAUGGUAUUUCCCCCUUACCUAUGAUGUAGAUUAUCUGUUUGUUUCCUAAACAUUGUUUGCAUUUUUGGCCUUUUCCAUUCAACAUUAUUGUUUUUGUGAGAUUCAUGAAUUAUUUCCAAACAUGGUUUUGCUUUUCCCAAAUAGAUAGAAGGUUCCUUAAGGCCAACACAAAAUAUAAAACUCUCUAUUCCUUAUAAGAAUAUUGUAAACUCUAAGUAUGUACAUAGACUCUUAACAAGUAUUUCUAGAGUAACUGAAAUCAAGUCUAAUAAACAGAAGUUAACUCUCUAUGGUUUCUCAGCUGUAAAUGUAACAUGAGUAAAAACUGCUACUUCUUAUGAGAAUAUAAACUUAGUUCCUCAUAUUUACUAUUAAUGUAUUUAGAAAACCAAAUUUGUUUAUGGACUAAUGUCUUAUUCAGUUAAUGAGAUGUUAUAAAAUGUAGUGGUUUAAAAAUCAUUUUCCAAUUACUAAUCAAGCCAGAAAUGCUUAGAAAAUUCAAGAUGAUUCAUUUGAAAUGCUCCUUUUGAUAUUAUGCCUAAGUGUUUAUAGAGCAUAUCUACAAAACAUAUAAAAUUUUUUUUUGUUUCAAUCCUGUAGUUCUUGACAGAAUUUGAAAUUAAAAUGGUACUCAACAUGACCAA
Long non-coding RNA from Canis lupus familiaris (dog), 7824 nucleotides. RefSeq lists it as uncharacterized. NCBI's taxonomy places the organism in Eukaryota, Metazoa, Chordata, Mammalia, Carnivora, Canidae. The transcript is spliced from 2 exons. The record is from RefSeq and is a predicted model, not a curated record.